UAAAGGUGAAGCCUGCCCAGUGACAAUACGUUCAACGGCCGCGGUAUCCUAACCGUGCAAAGGUAGCGCAAUCAAUUGUCCCAUAAAUCGGGACUUGUAUGAAUGGCUUAACGAGGUCUUAGCUGUCUCCUACGGAUAAUCAGUGAAAUUGAUCUUCCUGUGCAAAAGCAGGAAUAACCACAUAAGACAAGAAGACCCUGUGGAACUUUAAAACCUGCUACCACCCCCACUAACAACUCCUUUCCACAGGACCUACUCUCCCCGGACUUUACUGGUACGCAUUUUUUGGUUGGGGCGACCUUGGAGAUAAACUUAACCUCCAAAAACCAGACAAUCCAUCUUGACCAAGAACCACUUAUCAACGUGCUAAUAGUAACCAGACCCAAUAUAAUUGAUUAAUGAACCUAGCUACCCCAGGGAUAACAGCGCAAUCUCCUUCAAGAGCCCACAUCGACAAGGAGGUUUACGACCUCGAUGUUGGAUCAGGACAUCCUAGUGGUGCAACCGUUACCAAGGGUUCGUUUGUUCAACGAUUAA
Molecule: ribosomal RNA, 537 nt
Filed under: Pipra rubrocapilla
Lineage: Eukaryota; Metazoa; Chordata; Aves; Passeriformes; Pipridae
Description: partial 16S ribosomal RNA
Rfam family: Bacterial large subunit ribosomal RNA
Source: RNAcentral